GACGAACGCUGGCGGCGUGCUUAACACAUGCAAGUCGAACGGAAAGGCCCUGCUUUUGUGGGGUGCUCGAGUGGCGAACGGGUGAGUAACACGUGAGUAACCUGCCCUUGACUUUGGGAUAACUUCAGGAAACUGGGGCUAAUACCGGAUAGGAGCUCCUGCUGCAUGGUGGGGGUUGGAAAGUUUCGGCGGUUGGGGAUGGACUCGCGGCUUAUCAGCUUGUUGGUGGGGUAGUGGCUUACCAAGGCUUUGACGGGUAGCCGGCCUGAGAGGGUGACCGGCAACAUUGGGACUGAGAUACGGCCCAGACUCCUACGGGAGGCAGCAGUGGGGAAUAUUGCACAAUGGGCGGAAGCCUGAUGCAGCAACGCCGCGUGCGGGAUGACGGCCUUCGGGUUGUAAACCGCUUUCGCCUGUGACGAAGCGUGAGUGACGGUAAUGGGUAAAGAAGCACCGGCUAACUAAGUG
Molecule: ribosomal RNA, 468 nt
Filed under: uncultured bacterium
Lineage: Bacteria
Description: partial 16S ribosomal RNA
Rfam family: Bacterial small subunit ribosomal RNA
Source: RNAcentral